Long non-coding RNA from Meriones unguiculatus (Mongolian gerbil), 293 nucleotides. RefSeq lists it as uncharacterized. The record is from RefSeq and is a predicted model, not a curated record. The transcript is spliced from 3 exons. NCBI's taxonomy places the organism in Eukaryota, Metazoa, Chordata, Mammalia, Rodentia, Muridae.
UACUUGACCUUCCCUUCCUCAGCCCUCAGAAGAUCAUCUUGCCUUUUGCUUUACUGAGAAGUCCAAGGCCUUUGGGACUCUCUGUCAACUCAGCAAUGGAAAUUGAACCCAGGACCUCAUGCAUGAUGGAAUCUUUUUGUGUUGCCCAGAGUGGCCUCCAGCUCCUGGGCUCCAGCAAUUCUCUUGCCCGAGCAUCCUGAGGAGCGGAGAUUACAGUUGCCCACCACUUCACCUCGCCAAAGAAAUCCCGUUUUUCCUUUUCCUCCUUCCAGCCUAUCCCUUCUCUCCUUUAA